This is a long non-coding RNA of Nilaparvata lugens (brown planthopper), 1737 nucleotides long. RefSeq lists it as uncharacterized. The transcript has 3 exons. Lineage: Eukaryota; Metazoa; Arthropoda; Insecta; Hemiptera; Delphacidae. The record is from RefSeq and is a predicted model, not a curated record.
AAAUACAUAAUCAAAAUUUGUUCUUUUGUUUGUUAUAGGCCACUAUCGGUUGGAAGGAAUCAAAAAUUGGAUUCGUUGACAUGAGGUUCCACACCAAUAUUAAAUUUAUUAAGACAGGAAGACAGCAAUAAACUCCUCCAAUGAUGUAAACUCAUGAGCUCUACUCCGGAAAAACAACAGGGGUUCACCACUUAGUAAGCUGGUCAAACGGAGUCGCCACAUACUCCAAAAGAUGUGACUCUGCCUCCGGGGUUACUGGAUCUGCAGGCUGCUCCUCGUCCCCCUCGACAUUGAUCUCUGCUAUCCACUGGUUCAGCGGUGCGUCGAUUGCGUCGAUCUGAGUGGAUGACAGAGGUUGCAGACUUCGUGGAUCGAAAACUAUCGACCCAACACUUCCUGUUUUCCUUUCUCAUGGCGUAUUGGCAUCUACCAUGGUGAGAGUUGAUGCGCUGGGAGUCGACAAAGUGGGGUCUGGACAACUGCCAUACAUAUACGAAACUUCAGAGUUUGCGGGAGUGUGGUUCAUGUUACUCAUGUGUGUCAAGUGCAAUUUAAAAAGUGACAAAUAGUAGCAAUGGGUGUUUAACGAGGACACAAGGAGGGAUUCACAGCGAAUAGUUAUGUGCAAUGUGUUUUGGCUACAAAUUAUCAGGUAUUUAUUACUUAAGUUCUUAUAAUAUAUUAAUAUUAUUCAUGUACUGAAUUGUCGAUUCCUGACAAGCUUACAGACUGUGGCUUAUAUUAUUCUCCAACCAGGUUAUAUUUAAAAUAUUAAUGACUAGACAAGUUUCAGCAGCUUAGGCCCAUAAAAAUAAUAUAGUUCUCUCUAAAAUACAGUUUCAACAGUAAUAAUAAAAAUUUUAUAAAAUAAUUUUUUCUUGUUUGAAGCUAUUGAUUCCCAAAAAGUAGUUUUUUACUUGCCUGCUUUCCCCAAUACUUUCUUACUAUCUAUCAUCCAUUCAAGACAAAUCUCAUUAUGCAUAGACUUGUCCUUAGUUUUUAUCAGUAAUAUAUAGUCUUGAUUUACUUUCAAUAAUGAUUAAAAGAGCUCUGUUCUCAUUACCAGUCCCACGUUGAAUGCGACAUGUUUUAUCUGACGCAUCCGUGGCCAUUCACGUUGGGUGACAUAUUUUAUCUGGCGUUAUUUUUUAAUGAAUAACGAAUUGCCUGGCUUGGCUGCAAUCGGUGAAGAUGAGUGUAAAAAUAUACAAAUCUGGUUGUGGUGUUUUAGAACACAACUUCGAUAAAAUCCUUAUAGGCUCGCUCAGGAGCUCUUGCAAUUCAUUACUCUUGGACAAUUUAUAGAAACCUUUGGAAGGUAUAAUUUCCAGAGAUUUAAUUAACAAUGCAAUAUAUUGUUGUGUGAACCAGUUUAUUCUAUUACUGAUAAAAUCGGAUGGUAACUCUCUUGAUAAUUCAAUACUGAUGAUUAAUAAAUAGAUAUGAGAUUUGUCCUGCGUGGUAUUGGGAAUAUAAUAUAUGGUACACCAGAAAAAGUUUGAUACAUAUAUUAUACGAAUAAAUAUUUAAAGUCAGAUCAAUAUGGAAAUAUAUAGAGCAACAAACACACACAAUAAAUACAAGAAUAAAUAUAUCAAAAUAAAAUAUCACAGACUGGUACACUACUCUUUAGCUCUUUAGCACGAAACGUUACCAUGUGCUUUUCUAAUUCAUUGAUAAUAUGCAUUUAUUUGCAUGCAGCUUAGGUAUUGACUUGCUGUUGCUUGUCGAUUUAGA